RNAcentral lists this long non-coding RNA (545 nucleotides) under Callithrix jacchus (white-tufted-ear marmoset). RNAcentral describes it as "lncRNA (ENSCJAG00000069997.1)". Lineage: Eukaryota; Metazoa; Chordata; Mammalia; Primates; Cebidae. The record is from RNAcentral.
GGCAUUUAUCAAUUCUGUACAUGUUCUUCUGACUUCCAGCUGCCACCAAACAUGACUCUCUGUCUGUGGGUGUUCUCCAACCAUGGAACAUGUUAGUGCCAAGAACUUAACUUCAAGAGCAGCCUGCCACUAAUAACUGAAGAGUUUUGAUUUCUGACUGUGUGAUUCACAGUUGAAAAUGCAGUGAGAGGUGAUUGUGGCUGAGGGAAACAAAAUGAAGGUCUAAAACAAUAAAAAGGCUGGUGUCAAACUCCUGACCUCAGGUGAUCUGACUGCACUGGUAAAGAAAGUUUUGGAAGGCAGCUAUGCUCACCACUAUACCACCAACGCUAAAGAAAGUUUUGACUGUGACCAAUCACAUGAGGUAAGGUCAAAUUUUCCACUUGUGGUGUCAUGUUGUCACUUUAAAAGCUUUGCAUUUUGGAGCAUUUCAAAUUCUGGAUAUUUGGAUUAGGGGUGUUCAACCUGUAUUUCCAUUUAACUGCUCAAGAUUGCAUUUAUUUGAAGUACAGUUUCUUGCUCUCUCCCAAGACCCUCGCUUUCUC